Molecule: ribosomal RNA, 605 nt
Filed under: Parascedosporium putredinis
Lineage: Eukaryota; Fungi; Ascomycota; Sordariomycetes; Microascales; Microascaceae
Description: eukaryotic LSU rRNA
Rfam family: Eukaryotic large subunit ribosomal RNA
Source: RNAcentral
UUGACCUCGGAUCAGGUAGGGUUACCCGCUGAACUUAAGCAUAUCAAUAAGCGGAGGAAAAGAAACCAACAGGGAUUGCCUCAGUAACGGCGAGUGAAGCGGCAACAGCUCAAAUUUGAAAUCUGGUCGCCUGUGUGGCCCGAGUUGUAAUUUGAAGAGGAUGCUUUUGACAAUGUGCCUUCCGAGUUCCCUGGAAUGGGACGCCAUAGAGGGUGAGAGCCCCGUAUGGUAGGUUACUGCGUCUCUGUAAAGCUCCUUCGACGAGUCGAGUAGUUUGGGAAUGCUGCUCAAAAUGGGAGGUAAACCCCUUCUAAAGCUAAAUAUUGGCCAGAGACCGAUAGCGCACAAGUAGAGUGAUCGAAAGAUGAAAAGCACUUUGAAAAGAGAGUUAAACAGCACGUGAAAUUGUUGAAAGGGAAGCGUUUGCGACCAGACUUGUGCUCGUCGAAUCAGCCGUCGCUCGUCGGCGGUGCAUUUCGGCGGGCUCAGGCCAGCAUCAGUUCGCUGUAGGGGGAGAAAGGCGGAAGGAAUGUGGCUCUUCGGAGUGUUAUAGCCUACCGUAUAAUACCCCUCGGUGGACUGAGGACCGCGCAUCUGCAAGGAUG